GUGAGUCAUCGAAUCUUUGAAUGCAUAUUGCACUUUCUGGUAUUCCGGAAAGUAUGCCUGUUUGAGGGUCAGUUAAAUAAAAAUCGGUGUUGUUGCUAUCCGUAGUGGCGUUAAUGCAUCGGAAUUGAGUUGUCUUUUACCUUUUUUGGUUUAAGUGACUUAAAAUUAUGUACGAUUUUUGAACGUAUUUAAAUUAUUUACGUAUGUUCAUAAUAUCAAAUAUUAGGUGCGAUCAUCCUUAUGAUUCACAUCUAUAAUUUUUCAUUAUUUGACCUCAAAUCAGGUAAGAGUACCCGCUGA
This 300-nucleotide unclassified non-coding RNA is filed under the name uncultured Glomeraceae. RNAcentral's name for it is "sequence contains 5.8S rRNA gene, ITS2". The stretch from base 1 to 71 matches the Rfam family "5.8S ribosomal RNA", at positions 84 to 154 of the family's 154-position model. The record is from RNAcentral. Lineage: Eukaryota; Fungi; Glomeromycota; Glomeromycetes; Glomerales; Glomeraceae.